AAAUAAGAGAAUUAACUCACCCGUAUUUUGCCCUUAUGGUUUUGUUGCUUCAUAGAAGAAAAGCCUUGUGGCUCUACAAAGAUGCUGGUUCCUUUGGCAGAGGGAGUAGCAAGCAUGUUGCUCAGCCAUUCAACACUCUUCAGGUGUUCUAAAAACCCUCUUUGUGGUAGAAGGGCAUGGCACUCCAAAGGCAUCACCCACAGUGGGGUACAGCAGUGGUGCAGAAGAGCCAUCCCUCCUGAGGAGGCCCAGAGAGACUCUUUGUCUCUACUGUCCCCUUUCCUCCAUCUCCAGGCCAUAGCCACAGCAUCUGCCUUCUUCAGAUGCUGGUCUCUGCUGCCCAUGUUUGUCCAUGAAAAGACAGAGAUCAUCAUCUGCUGCUACCUGAAACCCAAUGGUAAUGAGAUGGUGACAAACUCAGAAGCUGCUAAGCAUGUGAGCUUUCUCAUAAUGCAAGAUGGGAAGAAAUCUGAAAUGGAAAAGUUUCUGAGGACAGUGUUUAGGAUCCUGUAAAUGUCCAAACUGACUGGUGUGGGUAUGCUGAGGUACCUGAUGCAUUCUGCAAGAGGAUUUGGGUCCAGUCUUCAAGCCUGUAUAUCCCAGCUUUCAAGCCUUCAUUUUCAACUGUGUGAGUUCCAUCAUUUGCAAAAUGAAGCUUUCUUUAAAUAAAAAUUAUCUACCUCCAUUUCCCCCUCACAUCUAGCCUCCUGUAGAUAAAAACGUAGUUGCACUGGGAAAAUUUAAAGUUGACUGUGACCAUAAUGCUUUUUUCUCACAACUGAAAUCCUUAUUUAAG
Molecule: long non-coding RNA, 796 nt
Filed under: Ficedula albicollis (Collared flycatcher)
Lineage: Eukaryota; Metazoa; Chordata; Aves; Passeriformes; Muscicapidae
Description: lncRNA (ENSFALG00000028397.1)
Source: RNAcentral